UUGAGCAAUGAAAAAUAGAUAAGUUAUUCCAGUAGGUAUAACAUCAAAGUUUGAUGUUAUACCUGCUGGAAUAAAUUAUCUAUUUUUCAUUUCUCAAGCCCUAAGAGU
This is a non-coding RNA of Pelobates cultripes (western spadefoot toad), 108 nucleotides long. NCBI's taxonomy places the organism in Eukaryota, Metazoa, Chordata, Amphibia, Anura, Pelobatidae. The record is from the annotation of a GenBank genome assembly.